RNAcentral lists this transfer RNA (74 nucleotides) under Enterocloster bolteae. RNAcentral's name for it is "[Clostridium] bolteae tRNA-Met". It matches the Rfam family "tRNA". From Rfam's summary of the family: Transfer RNA (tRNA) molecules are approximately 80 nucleotides in length. Their secondary structure includes four short double-helical elements and three loops (D, anti-codon, and T loops). The record is from RNAcentral. Lineage: Bacteria; Bacillati; Bacillota; Clostridia; Lachnospirales; Lachnospiraceae. RNAcentral also lists the same sequence under 1 other name.
GGACCGUUAGUUCAGUUGGUUGGAACGCCCGGCUCAUAACCGGGAAGGCUGGGGUUCAAGUCUCUAACGGUCCA